CGCGUAGGCGGACAGUAUAGUCAGGCGUGAAAUUCCUGGGCUCAACCUGGGGGCUGCGCUUGAUACGUGCUGUCUUGAGUGGGGAAGAGGGUCGUGGAAUUCCCAGUGUAGAGGUGAAAUUCGUAGAUAUUGGGAAGAACACCGGUGGCGAAGGCGGCGACCUGGUCCUUGACUGACGCUGAGGCGCGAAAGCGUGGGGAGCAAACAGGAUUAGAUACCCUGGUAGUCCACGCCGUAAACGAUGUGCGCUGGAUGUUGGGCGGCCCUAGCCGUUCAGUGUCGCAGCUAACGCGUUAAGCGCACCGCCUGGGGAGUACGGCCGCAAGGUUGAA
This 332-nucleotide ribosomal RNA is filed under the name uncultured bacterium. Its description in RNAcentral is "bacterial SSU rRNA". It matches the Rfam family "Bacterial small subunit ribosomal RNA", at positions 568 to 898 of the family's 1533-position model. The record is from RNAcentral.